This is a long non-coding RNA of Oncorhynchus kisutch (coho salmon), 375 nucleotides long. RefSeq lists it as uncharacterized. The transcript has 2 exons. NCBI's taxonomy places the organism in Eukaryota, Metazoa, Chordata, Actinopteri, Salmoniformes, Salmonidae. The record is from RefSeq and is a predicted model, not a curated record.
GGACAGGGAGGGAGGUUGAACCUCAAGUCCUACAGACUUGUGAACUUCAGAUCUUGAGCUACAGAACUCGAUAAUUCAAGAACUCUAGAACUCAUGAAUCACUAUGAUGUAUCUUGGGCUGUGAUAAUCCCAUCGCCAUGGUGACGGAGGCCAAGAGGAUUGCAGUGCUGGCCACUACCACAGCGCCUCCCGACCUGUACACCACGCGGCCAUUGAGGGGCUGCACCGGCCGGAAUGUGCCCACCAUAGGCUUGCCAUCCUUAAACUGGAGGUCUGAGAACACCCGCAGCUCGAAGAUGGAAAGAACGCACAGGCACAAAGGUCACUGAGAUGCAGCUGAUAUUAAAAGUAACAAUAAGUAUCAUAUAAAAUGAA